ACAACCGGGGAUUGCCUUAGUACGGCGAGUGAGCGGCAAAAGCUCAAAUUUGAAAUCUGGUACCUUCGGUGCCCGAGUUGUAAUUUGGAGAGGGCAACUUUGGGGCCGUUCCUUGUCUAUGUUCCUUGGAACAGGACGUCAUAGAGGGUGAGAAUCCCGUGUGGCGAGGAGUGCGGUUCUUUGUAAAGUGCCUUCGAAGAGUCGAGUUGUUUGGGAAUGCAGCUCUAAGUGGGUGGUAAAUUCCAUCUAAAGCUAAAUAUUGGCGAGAGACCGAUAGCGAACAAGUACAGUGAUGGAAAGAUGAAAAGAACUUUGAAAAGAGAGUGAAAAAGUACGUGAAAUUGUUGAAAGGGAAGGGCAUUUGAUCAGACAUGGUGUUUUGUGCCCUCUGCUCCUUGUGGGUAGGGGAAUCUCGCAUUUCACUGGGCCAGCAUCAGUUUUGGUGGCAGGAUAAAUCCAUAGGAAUGUAGCUUGCCUCGGUAAGUAUUAUAGCCUGUGGGAAUACUGCCAGCUGGGACUGAGGACUGCGACGUAAGUCAAGGAUGCUGGCAUAAUGGUUAUAUGCCGCCCGUCUUGAAACCACGGACCA
Molecule: ribosomal RNA, 589 nt
Filed under: Saccharomyces cerevisiae (brewer's yeast)
Lineage: Eukaryota; Fungi; Ascomycota; Saccharomycetes; Saccharomycetales; Saccharomycetaceae
Description: eukaryotic LSU rRNA
Rfam family: Eukaryotic large subunit ribosomal RNA
Source: RNAcentral